GGGAAUUGUCCCUGUUUUUGUGCUAAUAUUGGGCACCCUAUGGAUUGGUUAAUGAUCUAUGAUAAUUACUUGAACCAUUAUUUUAAUAGUUUGGAUAGAAAGUUUGAUUCUUUAGAGGCUUUGAUGAGAAAUAAUCAAGAACUUGAAGAAAAAUCAUGGAAGCUUGUUAGGGAGAUGGAGACUACUAAAGAAAGCUUCUCUAUUGGUCCUGUUCUUCAAAAGCUGCGGGAUAUGUUAGAAGGAAUUCUUGAUGAUUGCAAAAUUUUAUUUUCUGAGACUCUAGAUUUCCUCCAUAAAAACAGAAUAGGUUU
This 311-nucleotide unclassified non-coding RNA is filed under the name Hevea brasiliensis (rubber tree). Lineage: Eukaryota; Viridiplantae; Streptophyta; Magnoliopsida; Malpighiales; Euphorbiaceae. The record is from RNAcentral.